Molecule: unclassified non-coding RNA, 692 nt
Filed under: Leishmania donovani
Lineage: Eukaryota; Euglenozoa; Kinetoplastea; Trypanosomatida; Trypanosomatidae
Description: gene:unknown
Source: RNAcentral
UGCGUGACAUUUCAGGAUCCAGUACCGAAUCGGUGGUAAGGCCACAGCAGUGCCUAUCCCCUCCAUAUGCCGAACCACCUCUGGUAGUGACAGGGUCAAGUAUCUGCGACGUGGGGCGGCCAGAGCAAUGCGUCGCUAGGGAUGCUUGUGGCCGAGUCCUGGAUGGUGCCGCGCUGGAGAGACCUGCGGCAGCGAACACGCUUGUACCACCCACAUGAUUCGGCGGAGUGCCGGCGUGGCUCGGACGCGUCUCUCACCCCCCCCGCCGUCUGCACACUGCCUACUGGUGGUGGGGAGCGUGAGUGUCACCCGACGAGGAGGGGGAGGGGGAAUGUACCAGAGGUGGCGGCCGGCGUGAUUGGAGGAGCGGCUGUGAGCCGGCCUGCGAGGCGGCCGUGAUGGGUAGAGUAUGUGGGCCGGGCCCGUGCACUGGUGACCGAGUCGUUGCGUUGCUGCAACGCGCGUUUCCAGCGCUGCUUCACACCAGGCGAUGGGGCGUGUGACAGGGCCGCUGUGGAGUGAAGCUGAGCUCGUGCUGUAUGGCAGAGAGCGAACACACUGCAUAUAGAAGUGCCGUGCACGUUGUCCCUGUCCCACGGAAUCGCCCCCACGCAGAUGUUCAUGCACUUCUGAGAGCUUCUGAACCUCCUCCUCAAGUUGUUUGUGUUUUUGUAUCUACUCCUGCGGUGCAG